UACGGAGGGUGCAAGCGUUAAUCGGAAUUAUUGGGCGUAAAGGGUGCGUAGGUGGUUAGGUAAGUUAUCUGUGAAAGCCCCGGGCUCAACCUGGGACGGUCAGAUAAAACUGCUUGACUCGAGUAUAGGAGAGGGUAGUGGAAUUUCCGGUGUAGCGGUGAAAUGCGUAGAGAUCGGAAGGAACACCAGUGGCGAAGGCGGCUACCUGGCCAGAUACUGACACUGAUGCACGAAAGCGUGUGCAGCCCUCAGG
This 253-nucleotide ribosomal RNA is filed under the name uncultured bacterium. RNAcentral describes it as "partial 16S ribosomal RNA". It matches the Rfam family "Bacterial small subunit ribosomal RNA", at positions 524 to 776 of the family's 1533-position model. The record is from RNAcentral.